Molecule: long non-coding RNA, 595 nt
Organism: Hemibagrus wyckioides
Lineage: Eukaryota; Metazoa; Chordata; Actinopteri; Siluriformes; Bagridae
Exons: 2
Source: RefSeq, a predicted model, not a curated record
UCGUCACGACAGCAGAUUUACAGAGACUCAGAUGUAGGGUGACGUGAAGAAAAUCUUGAUAGGACUCAAACUCAAGCCCAGUGUAUACGAGCCCUGGGAUGGACAGUGUUUAUGAUUACAGCAGCAGCUCGUAGACACGGAUCUACAGUACCCAGAUACAGUGACUGACCAUCAAGAAAGCUGUUUCGCAGGAUGCGGAAAACGGGAUAUUUCAGCAUGAUGUGGUCCUGAAACACACACCUCCAAAAGCGCUCCACACACUGACCUCGCUCCUUCUCCACCCAGUCCAAAAUGUCAUACACACCUUUCUGCUUUCUCUCCUUAUUUCUCAUCUUUAUGACCAUCUGCACAGGGAAAGAAAUCGGAGAGAGAAUCUCAACACACCUUUGUUGUUAAGAUGUUAAGGAUACAAAUGACUGCGUUUUUUUAUUGUAUUAGAUAUGCAGUGUGUCCACUUUAAAACGUUACAAAUGUGUAAUAAGAACAUUUUAGAUUCUGUUCUCCAUGUCCAGGUCUUCAGAAAUUAUAUAAUAUUGUGAAAGGUAUGAUUUAAUUAUGUUUAACAUUCUCACAUAAAUGUUUAUUUCACGUUUAA